This is a long non-coding RNA of Mandrillus leucophaeus (drill), 1362 nucleotides long. RefSeq lists it as uncharacterized. The record is from RefSeq and is a predicted model, not a curated record. The transcript is spliced from 7 exons. NCBI's taxonomy places the organism in Eukaryota, Metazoa, Chordata, Mammalia, Primates, Cercopithecidae.
AUACGGAAAACAGAGUAGAAGCACAGAACAAGGACUAUUGUAUAUAAGAGAAGUAGGUGUUAAUGUAAGUUGCUGUGGAAUGACUCUGUUUUCAAGAAGACAAAGGGAGCCAAUACAUCUACUUUCAUUAAGAAGCUGAAAUUAAAUUUGAAUUUCCUUCUUUCCAAAGCUGAGACACGAUGGCAAAGAAGCAGAUUGCUGUGAUUGGAGCUGUAAUUAGCGAACUGGGUGCCAUUAAGUGCUGCUUAGAUGAAGAUCUGGAGCCCACCUGCUUUGAAAGAUAUGAUGAUAUUGGAGGUCUCUGGAAAUUUCAAAAAAAUACUUCAGAGAAAAUGCCUAGUAUUUACAAGUAAUCUGUGACCAUCAAUACUUCCAAGGAGAUGAUGUGCUUCAGUGACUUCCGUGUCCCUGAUAAUUUUCCCAAGUACAUGCACAGCUCCAAACUCAGGACUGCUUCAGGAUGCAUGCCACACACUUUGGCCUCCUCGAUUACAUUGGUUUUAAGACCAAAGUGCAAAGUGUGAGGAAGCACCCAGAUUUUUCUGUCAAUGGACAAUGAGAUGUUGUUGUGGAGACUGAAGAGAAGCAAGAGACUUUGGUCUUUGAUGGGGUCUUAGUCUGCAGUGUACACCACACAGAUCCCUACUUACCACUUCAGUCCUUCCCAGGCAUUGAGAAGUUUGAAGGCUGUUAUUUCCAUAGUCGGGAAUACAAAAGUCCUGAGGACUUUUCAGGGGAAAGAAUCAUAGUGAUUGGCACUGGAAAUUCUGGAGUGGAUGUUGCGGCGGAGCUCAGUUGUGUAGCAAAACAGAUUUGACCAGGAGGAACUGAGAUUCAACAUCCUCAAGACUGCAAAAGCACCUAUAAUCAAACAACUUAAUAUAUUUCCUAAUUUUAUCAGCAUGCAGACAAGUUUACAAAUACAUUAUAGAAAGAUUUGAAGAGUGAUUCUGGUUACGUUCAGUUAAGCAGGAUGCUAAUCCUGAACGAUCUGAUGUAUUAAAGUUUUUAAUGUUUGUAUCUUUGUUUUGAUGCAUACAAUAUAGUGGAAGUCUAUAGUAGUUAAUAUGAUGAUAAUUCACUUCUAAAUUUAAAUCCUUAUUUAUAUAUGAAGCAUAGCUAUGUCUAUGUCCAAGAAAGAAUUUUAAAAUAGUAAAUCAGAAACUUGUAAACUAGUGAAUACAAUUUUCUAUUUUUCAUUCAGAAAUUUGUUGUCAUAGACACAGCCUUUAACUGGAAAUCAGUAGACAGGUCUGGUCAAGCACAGCAUAGCGACCACUGUGUAGUAUUUUACUACCUAAUCCUCAGUAGCCAACACUGUUAAAUCUGCGCAAUGAGUAGCAUAUGAAUAAAAAUAAUAUC